Pogona vitticeps (central bearded dragon) is the source of this 434-nucleotide non-coding RNA. Lineage: Eukaryota; Metazoa; Chordata; Lepidosauria; Squamata; Agamidae. The record is from RefSeq and is a predicted model, not a curated record.
AUUGCUUCCAACCUUAGUCUAAGACCCUGGUCACACAAGGAAAAAGUUAUGUAGUUAUCUUCCAGCUAGGUAGAUUUCUUUGCUGAGGAACAGCUGGGCGUAUGUUGCUGCCAUCUGUGCAGGAGCACCAGAGGAUAUUUGGGCCCUGAUUAGGACUGAAACCAUGCCUUUGAGAUCAGGAGUCAAAAAUCUGGUCAAGCCUGCAAACUGUGCAAAAGAUCAAGAGACACAUUUUAACCUGCUGCUGAAAGGAAUCCACUGAUAGCACCAACUUGGUCUCCGCAUGGUGGGCAAUCAACAGCCAGGGUGCCACAACAGAGGAGGACCUCUUCUAUGUUCUUAUACAAUAAAACAAAAAUAAAAUAUGCUGCAUAUAUACCAACCCAUACUGCUUUCUCUGGGUGGUUUACAUUUUGAUUAUAGAAACUACUCAU